CUCAACUGCAGUUUCUGACUCAAGAGGUGUGGAGCAAGUCUAAGAUUCCAGAUUUCUAACAAACUCCCAGGCAAUGCCAAUGCUGGUGGCCCAGGAAGCUCUCAAGCCCACUUUGGGUUUUUUUUGUUUUGUUUUGUUUUGUUUUGUUUUGUUUUGAGACAAGAGUCUUACUCUGUCACCCAGGCUGGAGUGCAGUGGCAUGAUUUCACCUCACUGCAAUCUCCACUUCUCCGGUUCAAGAAUUCUCCUGCCUCAGCCUCCCAAGUAGCUGGGAUUACAGAUGUGUGCCACCAUGCCCAGUUAUUGUUCUGAUAGAAUAUCAGCGGGGAGCUACUGAGGACCUCCUCACUACCCUCCCUUGGAAGAGUUUGUCUGCAAUGGAGCCAACACAGUGGAAAGCAGAGCUGAGAAAUGGACAAACAACUCCUGAUGCCUCAUUUGAGCACCUGGAUUUAGCCAUGUCUGAAGCUAUUAUAUCCUUGAACUUUUGAAUCAUGCACUGUUUUAAGUCCCAAAGAAAGAGGCAGAGGAGCGACAGAGAUGACUUCCUCCCUUGAAAACGAAGCAUGUGGCCUGACAACCUAAAAUUGGGGUCAAUCCAUCCAAUUAUGGUGACUGCUUAGAAAUAUCCCUUUUCCUCCCAACGUUUUCCUUUCCUUCUCCCAUAAACAUAAUAAUGUCUCCUGCCAGUACUAAGGCAUGGCCCAUGGACCCACUAACACCUAUGCUCACGUUAGCUCUUGAGGCCGAGUGGCUUGGUUCUAUCUGGUUAUCAGAUGCAAACUUCAUCACAGCAGGGAUUUGGGCUAGACAUUAGAGGAAUAGUGUGGUACCAGAUGGUGUUUCUGAAGAAGGUUGUCCUAUUUUUGCAGUUUAAGGAUUUGAUAAUAAAUCUGCCUGGCAGCCCUCAGAUGUGAUUUGGCCUUGAAAUCGUCUCUGUUAAUCCUUGAUGCUGUGUGUAUCUGUCAAGGUCCAACCAGAAAAAACAGAACCUGCUCUAAGUAUCUGAACAAAGGGAAAUUUAAUGUAAGGAGCUGAUUGCACAGAUGAAGGAAGGGGCUGGGAGGCAAACAAGAGGGAACUGUGAGGUAACCCAGGGAUUUGCCACAGUAGGAAGACAUGACCACUACUAGGAUAGAGAGGUAAAAAAUAAAAAAAUAAAAAAAGAGAUGGUGUUACUUGUAUUCAGGAGGUGGAGUCAUCCAGAGGAGGCUGAAGCCAUGGCAGGUCUGUGUGGCAGAAGCUGCUGCCAGGGAAGACAUACCAUGGCUCCAAGAAAAGCUGCCAGAGACAGAAAGUGUGGGGGAGAAAGAUUCUUCCUUUUCCCUGCCUCCCACCUCUCAAACUCACCGCAGAGCUUCCCCUUGGCC
RNAcentral lists this long non-coding RNA (1370 nucleotides) under Homo sapiens (human). Its description in RNAcentral is "PREDICTED lncRNA (TCONS_00194019)". Lineage: Eukaryota; Metazoa; Chordata; Mammalia; Primates; Hominidae. The record is from RNAcentral.